RNAcentral lists this long non-coding RNA (487 nucleotides) under Elaeis guineensis (African oil palm). RNAcentral's name for it is "long non-coding RNA (EGUI_LNC079070)". The record is from RNAcentral. Lineage: Eukaryota; Viridiplantae; Streptophyta; Magnoliopsida; Arecales; Arecaceae.
GCAAGUCACGAUGAUGGACACCACUCCACUCUCUGGGCUCUACCACUCUCUGGCAAGUCACGACAACAGACACCACUCCACUCUCCUUAACAAACUCCACGUGGCCCUGAACGACCCCUGACGCCACUACUCUCCAUAACAAACUUUGCGUGGCUCAGAACAGCCCGCUACCUGGCGGUUACAGACAUCGCUGUCAAUCGGUUACGCUCUCUAUCUAUAAAAAGGGGAUCCCCAGAUACGUUCUUCUCUAAGCUCUGAACUCUAUCUCAAAACUCUGCUAAAAUUUUUCUUCGAGCACUCCAUUUUUGUUGAAGUAGAGUACUGACUUUAGCAUCGGAGGAUCUUGCCGGAGCACCCCCAACUCUGGUUUAGACUUCUCUUGCAGGUCCCGACGGUGGCUGUGGUCAUCCCGACUCCAACUUCUCCGGCUUCGGUGAAAUUCUACACCAAUAGGAACCCUCACCUAAUAGUCAUUGGGCCCAACCCC